UCAAAAGCCACUACUCCACUACUCAUAAAUACAGCAUACGGGUGAAUACACUUUCCUUAAACAAAUACAUAAAUGUUCAUCAUCUAAUCAAUAAGGAAAUGAUUUACUAAUAAUAAUGAAAUUUAGAGUUUUGUUAGAAGUAAUGAAUACUAGAAUGUCGCUCCUGUCCUUUUGGAACUUUUUGAACUCCUUCCAACAUUAACCACAACCACAAAACUAUGAAUGCAUUCAUAUCUUCGCAUAUCACUUUCUGACAAUACACAGUAGAAAGCAGUUUACUUUAACACCUUACAAAAAUUAUAUAAUUUUUUAUGCAAUGAAUAUCACUGCCCUCAUCUCGACAACUUCCCUCUCUUGGCCUAUGGCAAAGCAUCUACAAAACUCAUGGUUUAACUGUCCUUAAAAUUUUCUGACUCCAUGGCAUCAGUAAAUAAAUGCACUUUCUAGCUCUUCCCAAAUUUAGAAAAGAUUAUCCACAUGCAACGAGUGCUACUUCAUCACCUACAACACUUUCUUAAAAGCCAAUAAAACUCCACCAUUUCCAUAAGUCAUAACUCUAAUAUCCGUACAUGCAUAGGAACAUUUGCAUGCCAACAUAACCGUAUUAUUAAGUGUCACUAAUGCUUAUCUCUUUAUUACAAAAAUCCAGCCACCCAAUGAGACACCCUAUUUCAAAUCAAUUAUUUAUUAACAAAUAAAAGAGAAAAAAUUCGAGUUCCACAAUUAUUUUGAUGGGACUCCUGACUGCAUGCUAAACCAAAGAAAGACAGCAUCUCUGCAAAAUUGUAGUGGAAUAAUUAAAAUAAUCGAAGAAAAUUAAAUUAGAAAUGACAAAGGAAGCUCCAAAGUGUAUCUCAAUCAACUAGUAUUACAUGUGGACAAAAAGGUUAUUUGGGAAGAAGAAAC
This 906-nucleotide long non-coding RNA is filed under the name Olea europaea (common olive). RNAcentral describes it as "long non-coding RNA (OEUR_LNC003960)". Lineage: Eukaryota; Viridiplantae; Streptophyta; Magnoliopsida; Lamiales; Oleaceae. The record is from RNAcentral.